GCCCACCUUUCCACCGGUGCAGGUGGCGCUUACUCUCGCGCUCCUCGGCUCCGAUUGUUCGCAUUCGCCUCCGGACUCGAGACUUUCAAACCCUAAGUAACCAAACGUCGCGUGUCACCGUUUGCUGGGUUCUGGUGUUUCCCACUUUCUACGGAGUGCCCCCUCCCCCCCCUCCAGCAAACGCACAGAACAACCACACGCGUGUGACCUUGACCUUCAUUGAAGAUGGCAGUGGUAUUCCCAAUAAAGGUACUAAAGCAUCAGCACCUUGUCUGAGGUCUCACAGAUGGGUAGGGCAGUACCAGGCCCAGGGCCCAGCGGUCCCGGCUCCCAGCCGGGGGACCCCCACUCCUGGGCAGGGAAAGAGAUUGCCCAGACAGAGCUGGGGAUUACACAGCUAAUCCCAGCCUCCGCGACCUGAGUCCAUGGAUCCCUCCCUAUGGGGCAGGAGAAGGGGGGCAGGAUGGAGCCAGAGGGUGGAUUCCUUCCCCAUCCCUAACUGGGUCAAGGGAACACAAGGCCACGGGGAGAAGGCCGCCUGGGGAUGCCGUGGACGGGAGAUGGUGGGGCAUGGGAUGAUGAGAAACUGAGAGUGAGGAGCAGGGUCUCCUGUUCAUCCAGCACCAGGCUCUGUGCCAAGCACUUGCCAUGUGUUAUCUCCUUAAUCCUCCCACAACCCAGAGCGUAGGAAUGAUGAACCCCUGUUUGCAAAAGAGGACACAAUGUAUUAACAACGCACAGUGGCCUGCCCCGGGCAGCACAGCUGCCAGAACUCAGCCUGAGGGUUCCUGACCUGAGAUCCCCCACUCAGUCCCCACCCAUCCAGAGCACCUACUUGCCAGGCUCCCGUCAGUGUCACCUCCCAGAGAGCCCUCCUCUGAGGCAUCCCAGGCCCCGGCCGUCCCCUCUCCCUCCGCACCUGUCCCGUCCUAUGCCACUUUCUCGCAUCUGCCUCCCCAACCAGCCUCCAAACCAGAAGCCAUUGCUGUGUUGGGCUAACUUUGCCUUCCAAAUGCUCCUUGUUCCUGUGCCCUCCUGCCCAUCCCAUGUCCAUGAGCGGGGUUCGCUUUAUAGCCGGAAUUUUGCAAAGCUUCCUUGAGGUCUCCCAGCCUCCCAUCUCGACCCCUCCGAUUCCUUCUCUGCACCACGGGGUGAGUGGGAUUGAACCUCAGAUCCAUGUUGCCUCUCCUUUGCCUGAGACCACCGAGGGGUGGUUCCCCGGUGUCCUCAGGACAAAGCCCAAGCCUCCUGGCCUGGCAUUCAAGAUCAGGUGCUGACUUCUCCGGCUCCAGCCCAGAUUCUCCCCACACAGAGGAUCUCUCUGAUUUCCACCAGAGGAUCCGUCUUCCUUGCGUUCUCCUCCUGAGGAGCCCUUUGAAUGUCACCUCCCACCAUCUCUAGGAACCUUGCCACAGGUCCUUUGUGACAACGGCACGAUCAGAUCUUCUCUCUUCUCCACCCCACAGCACAGAGCUUCUCAAGGGAGGUGCUUACUCCAUAUUGUAAUCCAGUUUUGUAAUUGGAAAAUGAAAAAAAAAAAA
Molecule: long non-coding RNA, 1541 nt
Organism: Herpailurus yagouaroundi (jaguarundi)
Lineage: Eukaryota; Metazoa; Chordata; Mammalia; Carnivora; Felidae
Exons: 2
Source: RefSeq, a predicted model, not a curated record